UGAAACUGCGAAUGGCUCAUUAAAACAGUUAUAGUUUAUUUGAUAAUCGAAUUUACAUGGAUAACCGUGGUAAUUCUAGAGCUAAUACAUGCUGGUUAGCCUGACUUUUGAGGAAGGGCUGUAUUUAUUAGAUAACAAACCAAUAUUCCCCGUGUCUAUUGUGAUGACUCAUAAUAACUGAUCGAAUCGCAUGGACUUUGUCCGCGAUAAAUCAUUCAAGUUUCUGCCCCAUCAGCUUUCGAUGGUAGUGUAUUGGACUACCAUGGCUUUAACGGGUAACGGAGGAUUAGGGUUCGAUUCCGGAGAGGGAGCCUGAGAAACGGCUACCACAUCUAAGGAAGGCAGCAGGCGCGUAAAUUACCCAAUCCUGACUCAGGGAGGUAGUGACAAGAAAUAACG
This 399-nucleotide ribosomal RNA is filed under the name uncultured eukaryote. RNAcentral's name for it is "SSU rRNA". It matches the Rfam family "Eukaryotic small subunit ribosomal RNA", at positions 82 to 482 of the family's 1831-position model. The record is from RNAcentral.